UACGGGGGGGCAAGCGUUGUUCGGAAUUACUGGGCGUAAAGGGCUCGUAGGUGGCCAACUAAGUCAGACGUGAAAUCCCCAGGCUCAACCUGGGAACUGCGUCUGAUACUGGAUGGCUUGAAUCCGGGAGAGGGAUGCAGAAUUCCAGGUGUAGCGGUGAAAUGCGUAGAUAUCUGGAGGAAUACCGGUGGCGAAGGCGGCAUCCUGGACCGGCAUUGACGCUGAGGAGCGAAAGCCAGGGGAGCAAACGGG
RNAcentral lists this ribosomal RNA (252 nucleotides) under uncultured bacterium. RNAcentral's name for it is "partial 16S ribosomal RNA". It matches the Rfam family "Bacterial small subunit ribosomal RNA", at positions 524 to 776 of the family's 1533-position model. The record is from RNAcentral.